GAUGAAGAACGUAGCGAAAUGCGAUAAGUAGUGUGAAUUGCAGAAUUCAGUGAAUCAUCGAAUCUUUGAACGCACAUUGCGCCCUUUGGUAUUCCAAAGGGCAUGCCUGUUCGAGCGUCAUUUGUACCCUCAAGCUUUGCUUGGUGUUGGGCGUCUUGUCUCUAGCUUUGCUGGAGACUCGCCUUAAAGUAAUUGGCAGCCGGCCUACUGGUUUCGGAGCGCAGCACAAGUCGCACUCUCUAUCAGCAAAGGUCUAGCAACCAUUAAGCCUUUUUUUCAACUUUUGACCUCGGAUCAGGUAGGGAUACCCGCUGAACUUAAGCAUAUCAAUAAGCGGAGGA
This 341-nucleotide unclassified non-coding RNA is filed under the name soil metagenome. Its description in RNAcentral is "partial contains 5.8S ribosomal RNA, internal transcribed spacer 2, and large subunit ribosomal RNA". The stretch from base 1 to 120 matches the Rfam family "5.8S ribosomal RNA", at positions 35 to 154 of the family's 154-position model. The record is from RNAcentral.